UGAUAGAGGAAAACCUUUUUUGUUUGCAACACAAAAAUAAUUCUAUCAA
RNAcentral lists this transfer RNA (49 nucleotides) under Tetranychus urticae (two-spotted spider mite). Its description in RNAcentral is "tRNA-Cys". The record is from RNAcentral. Lineage: Eukaryota; Metazoa; Arthropoda; Arachnida; Trombidiformes; Tetranychidae.